RNAcentral lists this ribosomal RNA (492 nucleotides) under uncultured bacterium. Its description in RNAcentral is "partial 16S ribosomal RNA". It matches the Rfam family "Bacterial small subunit ribosomal RNA", at positions 29 to 507 of the family's 1533-position model. The record is from RNAcentral.
AGUGAACGCUGGCGGUAGGCCUAACACAUGCAAGUCGAACGGCAGCACAGUAAGAGCUUGCUCUUACGGGUGGCGAGUGGCGGACGGGUGAGGAAUACAUCGGAAUCUACUUUUUCGUGGGGGAUAACGUAGGGAAACUUACGCUAAUACCGCAUACGACCUACGGGUGAAAGCAGGGGAUCUUCGGACCUCUCGCGAUUGAUUGAGCCGAUGUCGGAUUAGCUAGUUGGCGGGGUAAAGGCCCACCAAGGCGGCGAUCCAUAGCUGGUCUGAGAGGAUGAUCAGCCACAUUGGAACUGAGACACGGUCCAGACUCCUACGGGAGGCAGCAGUAGGGAAUAUUGGACAAUGGGCGCAAGCCUGAUCCAGCCACGCCGCGUGAGUGAAGAAGGCUUUCGGAUUGUAAAGCCCUGUUGUUGGGAAAGAAAAACAGCAGGUUUAUACCCCACUGUUCUGACGGUACCCAAAGAAUAAGCACCGGCUAACUUCGUG